AAAGACAAUUCAUCCAUGUUCGAACCCUCCAGCAAAGCCACUGCCGGACUCCCCGUGCCAAGUUUUCUAAGGUCUAACUUUCCAGGGAGGUGACUGCAAGACCAGCAGCGUCUCCCAAGUACAGUGGAAACUAACGGAGAAGUUGGCUUAUUUACCCCUUUUACAUAACUCAAAAUAUCCUUCUAGCUACGUAAAAGGGGGAAAAAUGAAAGCCAGCCUGGGCUCCAAGCUCUGUUACUAUUUCAGUGGAGAGAAAGGCAGGGAGGCUACCGUUCAGCCGGUUUAGCAGAAAUCCUGGAAGUCUGUCGAUCAACCAGAGGAUAUUUUCUUGUCCUGGCUUGUUUUGGAGCUGGUACAAGAGCUGAUAGUCUUAACCCUGUUUAAUUUAUGUAGCUCCAGAAAGAAAAGUUGUCAGGGCCUAUAAAAUGAAGAAAAAGAAAAGCCAAGGAGACCAGGGACAUGUCCAAACCUCCUCCAGCGGCAGUGUCACCCUGCUCAUCAGGGUAUAGGACUCCACGCCACCGACAACAACAGAAAAAAACAUCUGCUCUUGGCAGCGUCCUGGCUGGGAUAAUGGCCCGCCGAGCGCAGCAGCGCUGCAGCCCCAGCGCCUGCCAGCGUCUACCGCGGCUGUGCACAAGUUAGUUUGAUCGUGGUCAGCAUUUGCAGGACCCUGUAACGCCAUCUAAUCAAGUCCAAGUCUCAAAGAAAGACUUUGUUAAAAUCACCCCAGGCCUGUGUAUUCUUUUCUUUAAAGAAUUACAAUGCAAAGUUACUGCUUUAUAAAACGUGGAGCCAGGAAUUUAUCCUGAAGUUGAAUGUCACCAGUUUAUGUAUGUUUGCUCUCACAUUUGAAGACUUUCUCUGUAGCCUUCUGUUCUGUUUAGAAAAGCGGAUUCUUUUUUUCUGCUCCUUUUCAAGCUCUGUUUAAUCAUUGUUUAUGAUUUUGAUAGUUUUCUCUGAGUUCUUUACAACUUAAUUAUCAUAUCUAUCACUACAAUGAAUAAAACGAUUUACUCACUCCUCCAAGUCUUUGAUACUGUUUACCUAUCCAGAUUGAAAGCCAACCAUGCUGAAUGUAGGCUUGCAUUAAGCAUUUAGUUUGGAGCUAUUAUGACUAGAGAUCCUUUGGAGUUACUUUCUGAUAGAGAGAGAGAGAGAGAGAGAGAGAGAGAGAGACAGAGACAGAGAGACAGAGAAACAGAGAGACAGAGACAGAGAUUCAGAGGCACAGAAAUUGUUCCUAUUUGCUCCAGUUUUCCUGCCAAUAGCCAUAGGGUGUGCCACGUCUAAACAUCUAUCACUGGAAAUAAUGAAACCAUAACUCAGCAUUUUAUUUAUGAACCAAAAGAAUUUAUUAAAAGAAACAGAGCUCAUGUUAUGGAUGAAAUAAAAUGUGUUUCCUUAAAACAUAAUCCUAUAUAUGUGCUGUAAAUCUAAUUCUGUGAAGUCCUGGUAUUUUUUUAAUGCACUACUUACACAUCUGCCUUGUGUCUUAUCAUCCAUGAAUUGAGAUUAAAACAAAAAUGAACAAACAAACAAAGACCCAAAACAAGUCUCCUACAAAGCAAGAAGGUAGCUUUGUUCCUUUCAUGCAGAUCUUCUUUGUUUUUUUAGGAUCUGUUCAUCUUCUAAAUUUCUGUACUUAGUCUUUGUUCUCUGUGCAUGUCUACUGAGUUUUGUAUUUUGUUUAAAUUAGAGAUAAAUAUUUUCCUCUCAAGCAGUACGAUGAGAUUAUAAACAUAGACUAUUUUCAUUUAAAUGUAAGCUCUGUGACUUUGGUCAAUUCUCUUUUUCAUAGCUCAGUUUCUUAAUCUAUAAAAUGGGGAUAGAAAUCAUCCCUAACAUUCAGAUUUGUUGAAAGGAUUAAUUGGGCUAUUAUUUCUAACACUUAGAAUUGUACAUGGCCAUAGAUACCUCUAUUUUGAUAGCAGCUGUUAUUAUUCAACUAUGUUACUCUGCAAAAUAUCUGGUUUCUUUUUCUAUCUCCAGUGCCUGAAGUUACUUGUCUCUCUCUUACACAAGUGCUAUAUUUUGCCUUUUUGUUCUGGCCAAAAGAAAGUCUGUCCCAUGUUAUAGCAACGAAAGGAGAUGUGUACUUGUUUUCUUUGUAGGGAAGACGUAGGUCCAAAUUUCUAUUCAAUAUGAACUCCCUUUUCCUAAUGAUGAAGGACCUUGUGUUUCUUCCUAUAAAUUACUCAUAAACGUUUUUCCAGUUGUUAUAGGCUUGCCGUCUUUCUUAGAGGCAGGCUAUACUAAAUUAAAUAAACUGUUGUACGUGUGCAAAUAGAUCUUUAAAAAAUAUUCAAUUCCCUGAGACCUUUUCUUCUAUCUUUGUCUCUUAAGAUACUAAUACAAUGUUUGUAUCAGUUUUAGUGUUACAGGAAAUUUGAAGAGAAUAUUCUCUCACUUAAGUUGCUAUUGAAAAACAAUUUAAAAAAUACCAGGCUGAGAACCCAACCUUGCCAGAUUUAAAUGACAGUAAUCACUCCUUAACAAUCAUAUCUCAUGAAUAGUAUAUAUUGUAUAAUGUGUAGUUACAAUCAUUGGUACAUAAUCUAAGGAAGUGUCAUUCAUGUACUUACUGGUAGUGUCAAGCAUGUCAAAUUGAUGUUACCACUGACAAGACAACCAGUAAUCUGAUUUUUUCGUGUGCCCACAAAGCCUGUUGUACUAUAAUAAAAGAGAAAUAGCAUAACCAGAAGGAAAUUGAUUGAUCAGAAAACAUGAGUUGAUCCUUUUGCAAAGUAAUAUAUAUUUUCAAUUUAUAUCCUCUGACCUUUUAGGUAUUUUAAAGUCCGUUUUCCUCUGUUGUAUUCUAAUAGACAUUAACAGGUUCUGAAAUCAGAUUGGCUUAGUAUAUAUCACGGCUCCUCCAUUUUUCAGCACUGAAUUUUAAGUCUAAGGUUUGUCAUCAGUAAAAUGGGGACGAUAACAGUACUUAUAACAUAGGGUUAUUGUGAUCAUGCAGAUGAGUUGGACUACUGUACUUGUACUUGAAGUAUAGAUCCAUGAACAAAUUAAUAGCUAUUAUCAACAUGAACCAUAUUAUCCUUGAUAUAUUUGAACAUUUAAUUUGCCUUUUAAUCUUGAAACUAGUGACUAUUGGUUCUUGCUUUUUAAUAGUGUUGAAGAUUUGAAUGUGACCAAAAAUAAAAAGGUUCAUCUGACUUUUACCCCUAAAGAAACAAUUUCAUACCUGUUUCUUCCGUUACCAGAAUGUAAACAAAAUUCUGAUUCAGCAGUGGUAUUUUUUAAAUAGGUUAUCAUCCUUUGGCAUUUUUAGGAGAUUGGUUCUAGGACCCUUCUCUGAAUACCAAAAUGGUAUACAAAUUGACAGUAUUUGUCUAUAACUUACAUACCUUCUGUAUAUUUUACAAUGUCUUUGGGUUACUUAUAGUUACAAUACAAUAUAAAUGCUAUACAAACUGUUGUUACAGUUUCUUGUUUAGGAAACAAUAACAAGAAACAAGACACAUGUUCAGUGUGAAUAUAAUUUUUCAAAUAUUUGGUCCAUAGUUAAUUGGAUCCAUGGAUGAGCCAAUGAGAUGAUGUGGAGGACUAAUCAUGCCUUCUAAAUAGAUCUCUUCUUUGAGAUUUGCUUAAAGAAUUUUGAAUUCUUGAGAGUAAUGUGUGUGUUGAAUCACAACUAGUCAAAAUUCAGACACAGGAAAUAUUUAGCUCUCUAUUACGCAGAGUUUAAGAUAAUAUAAGGCAGGACAAUUUGGUAAAAUCAUAAAUCAAGUACAGAGCAUAGAAUAUUACAAAGGUGAAAAUACAAUUAUCACCCAAACUGGGGUAACAGUGUGAAAUCACCACUAAUUAUAAUUUUGUUGUGACAACAGACAUACUGCAACUUCAAGGUAAACACAGGCUAAUGAUCACCCUGUGAAAUUAUUUCUUGUAUCUAUUUUAUGUAAUUUUAGUGCCCGCAAGAAACAACCAUGUUAGUUAACUUACAAUUUUGUGGAUCAAUAAUUUAGGAGUAUAUGGACUCUGUUCUAUAAUGACUGGAUCUUGGCUGUGUGGCCUGGAACCCCUAGAAAUGCUGGAAUAACCUGACUUGGACUGUGUGCUUGGAGACUUGGUUCUGGUGGCCAGCUGGAUUACUUGCUUAUUUAUCUAUGUGCCUUUUGCUAUGGCUCGAAUCAUAUAGGUGCAAAGAUCAAGAAUACAGAGCGCAAAAGAAAGGGAAAAAAGCACAGGGAUCCCUGGAAAAGGUCAUGUAAGCCUAUAUGUACCAAGAGGUAGUACAGCACAGGGCACAGGUCACUGGUGUUUUCAAUAUGGUCUUGACAUUGACCAAUAUGACCCUGAAUCACAUGUUUGAGAAAAGAAAUGCUUUACCUUUUUAAGUCCUUCUGGCUCAUGAGAAAGGAGAAGCUUUCAUUUCCUUCAAUACAAUAUAAGCUGUGAUAAGUUCUUCCCUUAAGAAAGAGGACCAAUCUCAGGCCCAAAUAUGGCACUGGACAGCAGUAUUUAGUAGCAAUAGCACAGUUCUGUUUUCAUUGUAAUAUUUUUCUGCUUUUACCUUGUAAUUUUGACAAGUGUAUUUAAAAAAUAUUAUUGUGAUAUAAAGCUCUCUUUUAAAACAUGUGGUAAUGAUGAUUAUACAAUAGAGUGAAUAAACUAGAAAUCACUGAAAUGUUUAAAAAAAUGUCAUGUGGUGUUUGAUGAGGACCAGAAUCAGAGGGAUUCAGAAGAGCUUGGGCUGCAGCUGCUUGAUGUCCAUACACAGAGAUUCACAACCUCCAGUAAGCAGAGAGAGCCGAUGCCAAAGGGUAUCUAUUAAAAGAGACUUCACAAAUGGACAGUGAAGAAUGAAUCACGGAGCAGAUCAGGUACCCAAGCCUACUCCUGGUCAAUAAGGUGAGAGAUGAGGGCGCGGAGCAGAUGAGCCAACGUUACCCUUUUCCUUCAAGACCUUGA
Molecule: long non-coding RNA, 4929 nt
Organism: Cavia porcellus (domestic guinea pig)
Lineage: Eukaryota; Metazoa; Chordata; Mammalia; Rodentia; Caviidae
Source: Ensembl